UACGUAGGGCGCAAGCGUUGUCCGGAAUUAUUGGGCGUAAAGAGCUCGUAGGCGGCUUGUCACGUCGGGUGUGAAAGACCGGGGCUUAACCCCGGUUCUGCAUUCGAUACGGGCAGGCUAGAGUUCGGUAGGGGAGAUCGGAAUUCCUGGUGUAGCGGUGAAAUGCGCAGAUAUCAGGAGGAACACCGGUGGCGAAGGCGGAUCUCUGGGCCGAUACUGACGCUGAGGAGCGAAAGCGUGGGGAGCGAACAGG
RNAcentral lists this ribosomal RNA (253 nucleotides) under uncultured bacterium. Its description in RNAcentral is "partial 16S ribosomal RNA". It matches the Rfam family "Bacterial small subunit ribosomal RNA", at positions 524 to 776 of the family's 1533-position model. The record is from RNAcentral.